This 253-nucleotide ribosomal RNA is filed under the name uncultured bacterium. RNAcentral describes it as "partial 16S ribosomal RNA". It matches the Rfam family "Bacterial small subunit ribosomal RNA", at positions 524 to 776 of the family's 1533-position model. The record is from RNAcentral.
UACGUAGGGUCCAAGCGUUAUCCGGAAUCACUGGGCGCAAAGCGUGCGUAGGCGGCGUGUUAAGUGUGAUGUUAAAUCGUGUGGCUCAACCAUAUCGAUGCAUCACAUACUGGCAUGCUAGAGGAAGGCAGAGGCAAGUGGAAUUUGUAGUGUAGCAGUGAAAUGCGUAGAUAUUACAAGGAACACCAAUGGCGAAGGCAGCUUGCUGGGCCUUUUCUGACGCUGAGGUACGAAAGCGUGGGGAGCGAACAGG